RNAcentral lists this ribosomal RNA (564 nucleotides) under Streptomyces flaveolus. RNAcentral describes it as "bacterial SSU rRNA". It matches the Rfam family "Bacterial small subunit ribosomal RNA", at positions 75 to 654 of the family's 1533-position model. The record is from RNAcentral. Lineage: Bacteria; Bacillati; Actinomycetota; Actinomycetes; Kitasatosporales; Streptomycetaceae.
CCACUUCGGUGGGGAUUAGUGGCGAACGGGUGAGUAACACGUGGGCAAUCUGCCCUUCACUCUGGGACAAGCCCUGGAAACGGGGUCUAAUACCGGAUACUGACCGGCCUGGGCAUCCAGGCGGGUCGAAAGCUCCGGCGGUGAAGGAUGAGCCCGCGGCCUAUCAGCUUGUUGGUGAGGUAAUGGCUCACCAAGGCGACGACGGGUAGCCGGCCUGAGAGGGCGACCGGCCACACUGGGACUGAGACACGGCCCAGACUCCUACGGGAGGCAGCAGUGGGGAAUAUUGCACAAUGGGCGAAAGCCUGAUGCAGCGACGCCGCGUGAGGGAUGACGGCCUUCGGGUUGUAAACCUCUUUCAGCAGGGAAGAAGCGAAAGUGACGGUACCUGCAGAAGAAGCGCCGGCUAACUACGUGCCAGCAGCCGCGGUAAUACGUAGGGCGCAAGCGUUGUCCGGAAUUAUUGGGCGUAAAGAGCUCGUAGGCGGCUUGUCACGUCGGUUGUGAAAGCCCGGGGCUUAACCCCGGGUCUGCAGUCGAUACGGGCAGGCUAGAGUUCGGUAG